AUCAUCACAGGUCUCCCUGUCUCCAAAGAGUCCCACCGCUAAUUCAACCCCCAAAGCAUUCCCAAAGUGAAUUUUAUAAAACAAAAGUUCUUAAUUUUACCAUUGAAUUUAAGAUGAGGCCCAAGGCUUUUGGUUGGGUCAACAAACUUUUACUAAUCUGGUGUCUACUUUCAGCUCAGUCUUCUACUUUUACCAUAGAUUCUGGGGUAAAGCUACUUGCAGUUUCCAAAAUAUGCUAGGCUUUUUAAAUUUUUUAAACUCUGAGUUUUUGCUCUGCUGGCCGAGUCCUCCCUGUCUCCUCCUCAACCUUGAACUCAUAGGAAAUUCUCCUUGGGCAUGAUUUCUCUCACCUUCCCAGGCUGUUCGUUGUCUUAGCCAAGCUCAUUAUGAAAUUUUUAUCUGCAUAUUUUGUAGUUAUUUAUUUCCCGAUCUACUCUCUCACAUGAUGUAGUGUAGAGAUCAGGAACCAAUUACUUUUUUAAGUCUCUGUUUCUGCAGUGCCCAGUGCAUGGCUCGGCACAUGUUGGCCAGGCAACAGUUAAUGCUUAUUGUCAAUAAGGUGAUGGAACAAUAUUAUUUCAAUAGUUUUGCAGUUGCUUUUCUUUCUAACUGGAGUAUCCCCCUCUUUUUUGCCUUGAUAUUUAUUUAUUUUUUAUCUUCCAGAUACAACUUGAAAAUUCCACCUUCCAUGCGGACUGCCCUGGUCCUCCACCCUACUGUAGUUAAGAGAUACUAUCUGUGAACAUGCCUGACAUGCUCCCCGUGGAUUGACUCCCCACCUGUUCUGCCAGGGGGCAAUGCUGUCUCCUGUCUCACACUGUGCCCUAAUCCAGGAAAGGGCUUUCUUAUUAUUCUUUGCAUCUUUAGUGCUGGACCAGGGCCUGACAUAUAAUAGAUGCUCAAUGAAUGUUUGGGGAAUAAAUGAAUGGAUAUACAAGACAACGUUCAGCAGGGGAGCUACCAGCAAGCGCAAUAAACUGGGGGCCCACUGGGGCAGAUGUCUUAAUGGAGAGAGCAGAGAUGAUGAGAAAAUCCCUCAGCAGGUUGAGAAUGCCUUCUGCAGGCUCAGGGCACAAAGUGAGAACUCUUUGCACAGGUAAGGAAGGCAGUGAAAAGUACUUCCUUCACUGAGUGUGGGAUCACAAAGUCAGGAAAUUUGGGGAAAAUUUUCACAUGAUUUAAAAUAGUUCUUGUCAAUUUCUUAACCAACUUUACAAGGUCUUCAUAUUUUUUAAUAAAAUGGGAGGCAGCACUGUGUUUCCCUAAUGAUCUUCUUUUGUCACAGGAGGCAGCAUGGGCUGGAACAGUAGCAGCUGGAAUAAGCAGCUUUAUCUAAUUGAACUUUAGCUAAGAUGUGAAAAUAACCUAAAUGUCCAUCAACAGAUGAAUGAAGAAAAUGUGGUAUAUACACAUGAUGGAAUACUAUCCAGCCUUAAAAAGGAAGGAAAUUCUGCCUUAUUCAACAACAUAAAUGGCCCUUGAGGACAUUAUGCAGUGAAAUAAGUCAAAUACAGAAAGACAAAUACUGCAUCAUUCCACUUACAUCAAGUAUCUAAAAAUAGUCAAAUUCAUUAAAUCAAAGAGCAUAACAGUGGUUACCAGGGGCAGGGGGAGGAUGAAAUGAGUUAUUAAUCAACAGGCAUAAAAUAAUUAAGUAAGAUGAAUAAACUCUAAAGAUCUGCUGAACAACAUUGUACCCAUAGUCAACAAUAUUGCAUUGUAUUAAUACACUUACAAUUUGCUGAGAGGAUAGAGCUCAUGUUAAGUGUUCUUACCACAAAAACAAAAAUAAAUUAAAAAAGAGGAUAAGGAAGGGGAAGGAUGGCACACCUGGUCCCCAGGAAGUUCCUGAAUGUACUUUUGUCUAAUUCCUGCUGUUUUCUGGGAACGAUCUGGGAGGAGUCACUCACCACCUAUGGAGGCCCAGUGGCCUGGGAAGGUCUUCUCCUUGGUGCUCAUGAGAGUUGGGGUCUUGUGGGCUGUGGGGUGCUCAGGGUGGGAGCACGAGGGAAGGAGGUGUGUGUGAUGAGUGAGAUAGAGUCCCCGUGCCUCUAGAGGAAUGGAAGAGUCAUCUCAGCAUGUUCAGAACAGGCUUAGGAGCAGAGUGAGGGGGGCGGUUAGCUCUCUUAGGAGAGGAGGUG
Molecule: long non-coding RNA, 2141 nt
Filed under: Macaca mulatta (Rhesus monkey)
Lineage: Eukaryota; Metazoa; Chordata; Mammalia; Primates; Cercopithecidae
Description: lncRNA (ENSMMUG00000051645.1)
Source: RNAcentral